GUCAGCUCGUGUCGUGAGAUGUUGGGUUAAGUCCCGCAACGAGCGCAACCCCUGUCCUUAGUAGCCAGCAUUUCGGGUGGGCACUCUAGGGAGACUGCCAGGGAUAACCUGGAGGAAGGCGGGGAUGACGUCAAAUCAUCAUGCCCCUUAUGGCUUGGGCUACACACGUGCUACAAUGGCGUAAACAAAGGGAAGCGAGCCCGCGAGGGGGAGCGAAUCCCAAAAAUAACGUCCCAGUUCGGACUGUAGUCUGCAACCCGACUACACGAAGCUGGAAUCGCUAGUAAUCGCGAAUCAGAAUGUCGCGGUGAAUACGUUCCCGGGUCUUGUACACACCGCCCGUCACACCAUGGGAGUCGGGAAUGCCCGAAGCCGGUGACCCAACCGAAAGGAGGGAGCCGUCGAAGGCAGGUCUGAUAACUGGGGUGAAGUCGUAACAAGG
This 442-nucleotide ribosomal RNA is filed under the name uncultured bacterium. RNAcentral describes it as "bacterial SSU rRNA". It matches the Rfam family "Bacterial small subunit ribosomal RNA", at positions 1054 to 1496 of the family's 1533-position model. The record is from RNAcentral.